RNAcentral lists this ribosomal RNA (500 nucleotides) under uncultured bacterium. Its description in RNAcentral is "partial 16S ribosomal RNA". It matches the Rfam family "Bacterial small subunit ribosomal RNA", at positions 30 to 523 of the family's 1533-position model. The record is from RNAcentral.
AUUGAACGCUGGCGGCAUGCCUUACACAUGCAAGUCGAACGGCAGCACGGGAGCAAUCCUGGUGGCGAGUGGCGAACGGGUGAGUAAAGUAUCGGAACGUGCCCAGUCGUGGGGGAUAACGUAGCGAAAGUUACGCUAAUACCGCGUACGAUCUAUGGAUGAAAGCGGGGGAUCGCAAGACCUCGCGCGAUUGGAGCGGCCGAUAUCAGAUUAGGUAGUUGGUGGGGUAAAGGCUCACCAAGCCGACGAUCUGUAGCUGGUCUGAGAGGACGACCAGCCACACUGGGACUGAGACACGGCCCAGACUCCUACGGGAGGCAGCAGUGGGGAAUUUUGGACAAUGGGCGCAAGCCUGAUCCAGCCAUGCCGCGUGCAGGAUGAAGGCCUUCGGGUUGUAAACUGCUUUUGUACGGAACGAAAAGGUUUGACUUAAUACGUUGGACUCAUGACGGUACCGUAAGAAUAAGCACCGGCUAACUACGUGUCAGCAGCCGCCGUAA